This is a long non-coding RNA of Salvia splendens (bonfire salvia), 583 nucleotides long. RefSeq lists it as uncharacterized. The transcript has 2 exons. The record is from RefSeq and is a predicted model, not a curated record. Lineage: Eukaryota; Viridiplantae; Streptophyta; Magnoliopsida; Lamiales; Lamiaceae.
UGUAAAAUGAAAUUUAAUGUAUCAUUUUUAAAACUACACAUCUGAGAUUUCAGCGAAAUUAAAAAUACACCUUUCCUCUCAAUCUCUCACAUCCCACUCUCUCACCAUUAUUUCACAAUUUUGUCUCCCCGGAUUCUCUCUUCUCAAAACCCUAGCCUCCCCAAUUUCUAACGAGCAAACUCUAAUCUUCACUAUUUUAUACAGCUUUGAAGACGCCGCCGAACAAGCUAGUAGAAAUUGACGCCAUAUUGUGCAUUAUUUUGAGUUGUAGUGUCGAUUGAAGCAAUGAUUUCACUAUUUGUAUCGAUUUCAAGAUGCCCGCGAACAAGGCAUCGAGGCACAAGCAAAGAAGCGCAAUAAAAAGGAAAACAUACUCUACUUCAGGAGGUCGGUGACCGAGUACGUGAACAUGACUAAGAAGCCGAACCCUAGACAAAUCGAAGCUUAAAUUCUUAUAACAAUGGUUUCGUACUAUGUAAUUUGAAAUGGAUUUGUAGGAUAUUUUUUCUAGAUUUAUGACUAUGUAGAGCACUUGGGGUGGUUUGAAUGUUUGUUUAUGAAUGGUCGUGCCUUGGUAAUUGAA